Molecule: ribosomal RNA, 429 nt
Filed under: Gemmatimonadota bacterium
Lineage: Bacteria; Pseudomonadati; Gemmatimonadota
Description: Gemmatimonadetes bacterium partial 16S ribosomal RNA
Rfam family: Bacterial small subunit ribosomal RNA
Source: RNAcentral
UAGGGAAUCUUCGGCAAUGGACGAAAGUCUGACCGAGCAACGCCGCGUAAGUGAAGAAGGUUUUCGGAUCGUAAAACUCUGUUGUUAGAGAAGAACAAGGACGUUAGUAACUGAACGUCCCCUGACGGUAUCUAACCAGAAAGCCACGGCUAACUACGUGCCAGCAGCCGCGGUAAUACGUAGGUGGCAAGCGUUGUCCGGAUUUAUUGGGCGUAAAGCGAGCGCAGGCGGUUUCUUAAGUCUGAUGGGAAAGCCCCCGGCUCAACCGGGGAGGGUCAUUGGAAACUGGGAGACGUGAGUGCAGAAGAGGAGAGUGGAAUUCCAUGUGUAGCGGUGAAAUGCGUAGAUAUAUGGGGGAACACCAGUGGCGAAGGCGGCUCUCUGGUCUGUAACUGACGCUGAGGCACGAAAGCGUGGGGAGCAAACAGG